RNAcentral lists this ribosomal RNA (450 nucleotides) under uncultured Paraglomus. RNAcentral describes it as "SSU rRNA". It matches the Rfam family "Eukaryotic small subunit ribosomal RNA", at positions 569 to 1022 of the family's 1831-position model. The record is from RNAcentral. Lineage: Eukaryota; Fungi; Glomeromycota; Glomeromycetes; Paraglomerales; Paraglomeraceae.
AGCAGCCGCGGUAAUUCCAGCUCCAAUAGCGUAUAUUAAAGUUGUUGCAGUUAAAAAGCUCGUAGUUGAACUUCAGGCCUGGCUGGGCGGUCCGCCUUCCGGGUGAGUACCGCCUGUGGUCGGGUCCUACCUUCUGGCGAAGCGUCAUGGCCUUAACCGGCCGUGGCGGGGAACCAGGACUUUUACUGUGAAAAAUUAGAGUGUUUAAAGCAGGCUCGCGCUUGAAUACAUUAGCAUGGAAUAAUGAAAUAGGACGUUCGAUCCUAUUUUGUUGGUUUCUAGGAUUGACGUAAUGAUUAAUAGGGAUAGUUGGGGGCAUUAGUAUUCAAUUGUCAGAGGUGAAAUUCUUGGAUUUAUUGAAGACUAACUACUGCGAAAGCAUUUGCCAAGGAUGUUUUCAUUAAUCAAGAACGAAAGUUAGGGGAUCGAAGACGAUCAGAUACCGUCGUA